Molecule: ribosomal RNA, 301 nt
Filed under: uncultured bacterium
Lineage: Bacteria
Description: partial 16S ribosomal RNA
Rfam family: Bacterial small subunit ribosomal RNA
Source: RNAcentral
CAGUCGCCGCGGUAAAACGAAGGGUGCAAGCGUUACUCGGAAUUACUGGGCGUAAAGCGUGCGUAGGUGGUUGUUUAAGUCUGCUGUGAAAGCCCUGGGCUCAACCUGGGAAUUGCAGUGGAUACUGGGCGACUAGAGUAAGGUAGAGGAUAGUGGAAUUUCCGGUGUAGCAGUGAAAUGCGUAGAGAUCGGAAGGAACAUCUGUGGCGAAGGCGACUAUCUGGGCCAUUACUGACACUGAGGCACGAAAGCGUGGGGAGCAAACAGGAUUAGAUACCCCGGUAGUCCCUGUCUCUUAUAA